UGGGGAAUAUUGGACAAUGGGCGCAAGCCUGAUCCAGCCAUGCCGCGUGAGUGAUGAAGGCCUUCGGGUUGUAAAGCUCUUUCACCCACGACGAUGAUGACGGUAGUGGGAGAAGAAGCCCCGGCUAACUUCGUGCCAGCAGCCGCGGUAAUACGAAGGGGGCAAGCGUUGUUCGGAAUGACUGGGCGUAAAGGGCGCGUAGGCGGUUCGUUGCGUCAGAUGUGAAAGCCCCGGGCUCAACCUGGGAACUGCAUUUGAUACGGGCGGGCUUGAAUCCAAGAGAGGGUGGUGGAAUUCCCAGUGUAGAGGUGAAAUUCGUAGAUAUUGGGAAGAACACCAGUGGCGAAGGCGGCCACCUGGCUUGGUAUUGACGCUGAGGCGCGAAAGCGUGGGGAGCAAACAGGAUUAGAUACCCUGGUAGUCCACGCCGUAAACGAUGUGUGCUAGCCGUCGGGCAGCUUGCUGUUCGGUGGCGCAGCUAACGCGAUAAGCACACCGCCUGGGGAGUACGGUCGCAAGAUUAAAACU
Molecule: ribosomal RNA, 528 nt
Filed under: bacterium enrichment culture clone 13(2012b)
Lineage: Bacteria
Also listed under: 1 other name
Description: bacterial SSU rRNA
Rfam family: Bacterial small subunit ribosomal RNA
Source: RNAcentral